AAAAUGCACAUUAAUUAUCCCUGGGGCCAUGGGAUAAACAAAAAUCCUGCAAAAACAAGUUAGCACACCCUAGAAUGGUUCUAGCAUGAUUACUAACCUAUGGCUCCAAUACUAGUUGAUGGGAAAAAAAC
This 131-nucleotide microRNA precursor is filed under the name Vitis vinifera (wine grape). RNAcentral describes it as "MIR845_2 microRNA precursor family". It matches the Rfam family "MIR845_2 microRNA precursor family". Lineage: Eukaryota; Viridiplantae; Streptophyta; Magnoliopsida; Vitales; Vitaceae. The record is from Rfam by way of RNAcentral.